ACGCCUUAUACAUGCAAGUCGAACGAAGUAGAAAUACUUAGUGGCAGACGGGUGAGUAACAUGUAGGUAUCUUCCCUUUGGUGAGGAAUAACACGAGGAAACUUGUGCUAAUACCUCAUAAGUCUUUACGGAGAAAGCUUUAUGCGCCGAAGGAUGAGCCUGCACUUGAUUAGUUUGUUGGUGGGGUAAUGGCCUACCAAGACUUUGAUCUAUAGCUGAUCUGAGAGGAUGAUCAGCCACAUUGGGACUGAGACACGGCCCAAACUCCUACGGGAGGCAGCAGUAGGGAAUAUUGCACAAUGGAGGAAACUCUGAUGCAGCGAUGCCGCGUGAGUGAAGAAGGCCUUUGGGUUGUAAAGCUCUUUCGUCGGGGAAGAAAAUGACUGUACCCGAAUAAGAAGGUCCGGCUAACUUCGUGCCAGCAGCCGCGGUAAUACGAAGGGACCUAGCGUAGUUCGGAAUUACUGGGCUUAAAGAGUUCGUAGGUGGUUAAAAAAGUUGGUGGUGAAAUCCCAGAGCUUAACUCUGGAACUGCCAUCAAAACUUUUUAGCUAGAGUAUGAUAGAGGAAAGCAGAAUUUCUAGUGUAGAGGUGAAAUUCGUAGAUAUUAGAAAGAAUACCAAUUGCGAAGGCAGCUUUCUGGAUCAUUACUGACGCUGAGGAACGAAAGCAUGGGUAGCGAAGAGGAUUAGAUACCCUCGUAGUCCAUGCCGUAAACGAUGUGUGUUAGACGUUGGAAAUUUAUUUUCAGUGUCGCAGCGAAAGCAUUAAACACACCGCCUGGGGAGUACGACCGCA
This 798-nucleotide ribosomal RNA is filed under the name uncultured Pelagibacteraceae bacterium. Its description in RNAcentral is "bacterial SSU rRNA". It matches the Rfam family "Bacterial small subunit ribosomal RNA", at positions 44 to 890 of the family's 1533-position model. Lineage: Bacteria; Pseudomonadati; Pseudomonadota; Alphaproteobacteria; Candidatus Pelagibacterales; Candidatus Pelagibacteraceae. The record is from RNAcentral.